AGUGAACGCUGGCGGUAGGCCUAACACAUGCGAGUCGAACGGCAGCACAGUAAGAGCUUGCUCUUACGGGUGGCGAGUGGCGGACGGGUGAGGAAUACAUCGGAAUCUACUUUUUCGUGGGGGAUAACGUAGGGAAACUUACGCUAAUACCGCAUACGACCUACGGGUGAAAGCAGGGGAUCUUCGGACCUUGCGCGAUUGAAUGAGCCGAUGUCGGAUUAGAUAGUUGGCGGGGUAAAGGCCCACCAAGGCGACGAUACGUAGCUGGUCUGAGAGGAUGGUCGGCCACACUGGAACUGAGACACGGUCCAGACUCCUACGGGAGGCAGCAGUGGGGAAUAUUGGACAAUGGGCGCAAGCCUGACCCAGCCAUACCGCGUGGGUGAAGAAGGCCUUCGGGUUGUAAAGCCCUUUUGUUGGGAAAGAACAGCAGCAGGUUAAUACCCCGCUGUUCUGACGGUACCCAAAGAAUAAGCACCGGCUAACUUCGUG
RNAcentral lists this ribosomal RNA (492 nucleotides) under uncultured bacterium. Its description in RNAcentral is "partial 16S ribosomal RNA". It matches the Rfam family "Bacterial small subunit ribosomal RNA", at positions 29 to 507 of the family's 1533-position model. The record is from RNAcentral.